UACGGAGGAUGCGAGCGUUAUCCGGAUUUAUUGGGUUUAAAGGGUGCGUAGGCGGGAUGCCAAGUCAGCGGUAUAAAUGCGGUGCUCAACGCCGUCGAGCCGUUGAAACUGGCGUUCUUGAGUGGGCGAGAAGUAUGCGGAAUGCGUGGUGUAGCGGUGAAAUGCAUAGAUAUCACGCAGAACUCCGAUUGCGAAGGCAGCAUACCGGCGCCCUACUGACGCUGAGGCACGAAAGCGUGGGUAUCGAACAGG
Molecule: ribosomal RNA, 252 nt
Filed under: uncultured bacterium
Lineage: Bacteria
Description: partial 16S ribosomal RNA
Rfam family: Bacterial small subunit ribosomal RNA
Source: RNAcentral